This 540-nucleotide ribosomal RNA is filed under the name uncultured bacterium. RNAcentral describes it as "bacterial SSU rRNA". It matches the Rfam family "Bacterial small subunit ribosomal RNA", at positions 355 to 896 of the family's 1533-position model. The record is from RNAcentral.
UGAGGAAUAUUGGUCAAUGGACGGAAGUCUGAACCAGCCAAGUAGCGUGCAGGAUGACGGCCCUAUGGGUUGUAAACUGCUUUUGUAUGGGGAUAAAGUUAGGGACGUGUCCCUAUUUGCAGGUACCAUACGAAUAAGGACCGGCUAAUUCCGUGCCAGCAGCCGCGGUAAUACGGAAGGUCCAGGCGUUAUCCGGAUUUAUUGGGUUUAAAGGGAGCGUAGGCUGGAGAUUAAGUGUGUUGUGAAAUGUAGACGCUCAACGUCUGAAUUGCAGCGCAUACUGGUUUCCUUGAGUACGCACAACGUUGGCGGAAUUCGUCGUGUAGCGGUGAAAUGCUUAGAUAUGACGAAGAACUCCGAUUGCGAAGGCAGCUGACGGGAGCGCAACUGACGCUUAAGCUCGAAGGUGCGGGUAUCAAACAGGAUUAGAUAUCCUGGUAGUCCGCACAGUAAACGAUGGAUGCCCGCUGUUGGUACCUGGUAUCAGCGGCUAAGCGAAAGCAUUAAGCAUCCCACCUGGGGAGUACGCCGGCAACGGUG